Molecule: ribosomal RNA, 418 nt
Filed under: Gnathanodon speciosus (golden trevally)
Lineage: Eukaryota; Metazoa; Chordata; Actinopteri; Carangiformes; Carangidae
Description: partial 16S ribosomal RNA
Rfam family: Bacterial large subunit ribosomal RNA
Source: RNAcentral
UGACUAUAUGUUUAACGGCCGCGGUAUUUUGACCGUGCGAAGGUAGCGUAAUCACUUGUCUUUUAAAUGGAGACCUGUAUGAAUGGCAUAACGAGGGCUUAACUGUCUCCUCUUUCCAGUCAAUGAAAUUGAUCUCCCCGUGCAGAAGCGGGGAUAAAUACAUAAGACGAGAAGACCCUAUGGAGCUUUAGACACCAAGACAGACCAUGUUAAGAACCCCACAAACUAAAGGCCUGAACUUAAUGACCACCUGUCCUAAUGUCUUCGGUUGGGGCGACCAUGGGGUAGCACAAAACCCCCAUGUGGAAUGGGAGAACAAUCCCAACAAUCUCUUUCCCAUACUCCCACAAGCAAGAGCUACAACUCUAGCUAACAGAAUUUCUGACCUAUCAUGAUCCGGUACCCACCGAUCAACGAA